Molecule: long non-coding RNA, 334 nt
Filed under: Panax ginseng (ginseng)
Lineage: Eukaryota; Viridiplantae; Streptophyta; Magnoliopsida; Apiales; Araliaceae
Description: long non-coding RNA (PGIN_LNC011438)
Source: RNAcentral
AUGAUGAGGUUGGCGAUCUAUCAGCAACGAACGGCCCGACACUAUAAUCAGAAGGUGAAGACAAGGAGGUUUGCAGUAGGAGAUCUGGUCCUCCGGGAGUCUGAGGCAUCAACCCCCCAAAACACCGGCAAGUUAAUGCCUAACUGGGAGGGGCCUUAUGAGGUGAUAGGAGUGCCGAAGCCCGGAACCUACCGGCUUCGAGCAAUGGACGGUUCGGAGGUAAAGAAUACAUGGCAUGCUGGAAGACUUAGAAAAUUUUACUAGUAAUAGUUAUGCCGUUCCUAUUUUUAUCCAUGUAAUCGUUUCAAUUCAAAUGAUAUAAAUGAAAGUUCCC